Molecule: transfer-messenger RNA, 441 nt
Filed under: Candidatus Peregrinibacteria bacterium
Lineage: Bacteria; Candidatus Peregrinibacteriota
Rfam family: transfer-messenger RNA
About the family: Bacterial tmRNA, also known as 10Sa RNA or SsrA, is named for its dual tRNA and mRNA-like properties.
Source: RNAcentral
GGGGAUGAUCGGCUUUGACAGGAAUGGUUCUGUCUUAUCAUGGCCUUCACGGGGUUGCACUGUCCCCCGUUACAUCCGUUAGUGCAAAUUUAAUUGCUACAGCUAAAACUGAAGCUGGUCUUAACGAUCAAUACCUUGCAUUCAAGAAACUUGCACCUGCACGUUCUCUUGCAAUGGCUGCGUAGUUUUCGUUACUGCCACUGAGACUGCCUAAUCGCGGUCCCGUCGUUGUGAGUGAGGUCUCAUAACUUGUAAACGGCGUAACUUAAUGAGGCUCGAAAGUAGUGUGGAGGUUCGGCAUUCUACUUUCUAAAUCUCCUCGUCCAUCCGUGAGAGCUUUUUGUUCUUUCUUUAUUCUCGUGGACAUUAGAAAGAAAUACGUAGGUAGAAGUGAUAAUACAGCAUUUUUGGACGCGGGUUCGAUUCCCGCCAUCUCCACCA